Molecule: ribosomal RNA, 326 nt
Filed under: uncultured eukaryote
Lineage: Eukaryota
Description: partial 18S ribosomal RNA
Rfam family: Eukaryotic small subunit ribosomal RNA
Source: RNAcentral
CCCUUAGAUGUUCUGGGCCGCACGCGCGCUACACUGAUGCAUUCAACAAGCCUAGCCUUGACCGAGAGGUCCGGGUAAUCUUUGAAACUGCAUCGUGAUGGGGCUAGAUUAUUGCAAUUAUUAAUCUUCAACGAGGAAUGCCUAGUAAGCGUGAUUCAUCAAAUCGCGUUGAUUACGUCCCUGCCCUUUGUACACACCGCCCGUCGCUCCUACCGAUUGAAUGUGUUGGUGAGGAGCUCGGAUUGGCAGCAGUUGGUGGUUCGCCACCGGCUAUUGCUGAGAAGUCCUCCAAACCGCCCCAUUUAGAGGAAGGAGAAGCCGUAACA